This 237-nucleotide ribosomal RNA is filed under the name uncultured bacterium. RNAcentral's name for it is "partial 16S ribosomal RNA". It matches the Rfam family "Bacterial small subunit ribosomal RNA", at positions 99 to 334 of the family's 1533-position model. The record is from RNAcentral.
CGCACGGGUGAGUAACACGUAUCCAACCUGCCGUCUACUCUUGGCCAGCCUUCUGAAAGGAAGAUUAAUCCAGGAUGGCAUCAUGAGUUCACAUGUCCGCAUGAUUAAAGGUAUUUUCCGGUAGACGAUGGGGAUGCGUUCCAUUAGAUAGUAGGUGGGGUAACGGCCCACCUAGUCAACGAUGGAUAGGGGUUCUGAGAGGAAGGUCCCCCACAUUGGAACUGAGACACGGUCCAA